GGUCAGGGUGCUGCCUCCCUAUCCACUGGGAGUCCUUUUGCGUUUCAGAUGCUCCCAGGCUCUCCCGCAGUUUAAAGACUUAACUCAGCGGCUUUCAGGGCCUGUGGUUGAGGGACUCCGAAAGAACUGUUGCUGGUGGACCGGUUCAGGGUCUUGACUUCGCCACACAAAAGAACUUGAGAGCACGUCCAAAGUAAAGCUAAGACCUCUAGUACAGUGUUCAAUGGAACUGGUGAGAAAAGACGUCCUUGCUGUGUUCCUGAUAUGAAGAGGAAAGCAGUCCUUCUCCAUUAAAUGCUGACAACAUGAGCCUCCCGUGGUCGGAACGGGCUUGUGAAGGCGGUGCUGGGGUGCACCAGGGCAGCAGCUACAGGAAAAUCAUACUGGUAGCCUUCAAGUGGCCAUGGUGGGAGCAUUGACCCAGGGAAAUCCACAUUUCCCAACACAUGCUGGAUACCUGAGGACUCCAGAGCUACUAUCUGCUCAUAUCUGCUCAACAUUAAAAAAAAAAAAAAAACCUCACAUUGUUAAGUGAAAAGGUUUAUUGGCAGAUUUGCUUAACUCAAUUUGCAAAGAUACCUUAGACCAGGGGUCGGCAAACUACAUUCCACAGAACGAAGCUGCCCAUUACUUGUCUUUUGUUUGUUUGUUUGUUUUGUUUUGUUUUGUUUUGAGAUGAAGUCUCGCUCUUGUUGCCCGGGCUGGAGUGCAAUGGUGUGAUCUCAGCUCACUGCAACCUCAACCUCCCUGGUUCAAGCAAUUCCCCUGCCUGAGCCUCCCAAGUAGCUGGGAUUACAGGCACAUGCCACCAUGCCCAACUGAUGUUUUUGUAUUUUUAGUAGAGAUGGGGUUUCACCAUGUUGGCCAGACUGGUCUCGAACUCCUGACCUCAGGUGAUCCACUGCCUCAGCCUCCCAAAGUGCUGGGAUUACAGGCGUGAUCCUAAGUACAGUUUUAUAGGACAACCAUGCUCAUUCAUUUCCGUAUCGUCCACGGCUGCUCUACAGCAGCAGAGUUUAGUGGUCAGGACAGAACCGGCACAACCUGCACAACCUGCACAACUUUCAAAGGCUGAAUAUUUACUCUCCGGCUCUUUAGAGAAAGUUUGCAACUCCUACUUUAGACUGAUGCUUCUCCAAUGCUAACGCGCCAGUCACCAAAUCACCGGCAUCUGGUCCCAGCCUCCAACCAUAAACCACAGCUGAAUGGAAACUUGGUAGCGCUUGCCUUCAAUAGCAGAUGCUGUAAGAGGAAAGCAAGGUGACCAAGAAAACAUUGCAAAACUCUGGGCAGAAUCUGGGGCCUGAAGACUCUGAGUCAGAGGCCUCUUUUUUUGCUCUAAACACAUAUUAGCAAGAGUCCAAGAGGCAUCAAAGAUGAGUUAGCAGCAAAAUGAGGCUUUGUCCUUCAUGUAGAAAGGAUUAAAUGAUAGUUGAAAAUGCAAUAACUUUCACCCUGUGGGAUUCAGUGAUGUUCAGUGCUGUGAUUAUGUCCAACUUCAAAUCUUGCUGUCCCAACUGGGACAGCCCAAACAUAGGGAGCCACUGCACUAAGAUGUUAUGAUUUAUUAAGAUAAUAAAGCUAGCGGGAUGACAAAUGUUUCAUUUUUCCCCCAUGUGUUUCCCCCAAAGGACCGUCUGCUUUUGCAUGUGAUUUGACUAUGCGCUGAGGACCUAGCGUGGUAUAUCAGCAAAGUGGAAAAGUGACUGAAGUGACUGUUUAUCAUCUUGUACCAAGUUACACCACUUUAAGCUUUAACUCCACAGCUCUUGCAUUAUUUUAAAACCGUCUGGCAGAUCUCUAAAACUAAUGGUACAAACCACUCUGUGAUACAUUAAAAUACAUCCCACUCUGUCAUACUGCAAACAAGUAGCUGCUCCCCAGUCUUUGAAAAAGUACUUUCAAGAUAAAAUAUGUACUCAUGGGUUCUGCAGGUUUUUAAAAAGUCUUGAAUCUUCACAGAUUUACUGGGGGGGAAGGGGCGUUUCAUGUAAAAUGUGUUUUUCCUUGACAUUUAGAGGUCUUGCAAAGUGGUUUAUUAUAGAUCUUGUGGACAUCUCGCUAUUUAAUUAAAUUUCAGAAAUAUA
This 2087-nucleotide long non-coding RNA is filed under the name Homo sapiens (human). RNAcentral describes it as "MIR646 host gene". The record is from RNAcentral. Lineage: Eukaryota; Metazoa; Chordata; Mammalia; Primates; Hominidae.